GCUAACGUCCGUCGUGAAGAGGGAAACAACCCAGACCGCCAGCUAAGGUCCCAAAGUCAUGGUUAAGUGGGAAACGAUGUGGGAAGGCCCAGACAGCCAGGAUGUUGGCUUAGAAGCAGCCAUCAUUUAAAGAAAGCGUAAUAGCUCACUGGUCGAGUCGGCCUGCGCGGAAGAUGUAACGGGGCUAAACCAUGCACCGAAGCUGCGGCAGCGAACGUAUCACUUAAAGCGAUUCAGCGGGUUACGAUURACGGAGCGAAGCGACGUCAAAGCGUAUACAAAGUCGAGUCGGUUUAAGGAUACGUUCGUUGGGUAGGGGAGCGUUCUGUAAGCCUGUGAAGGUGGCCUGUGAGGGUUGCUGGAGGUAUCAGAAGUGCGAAUGCUGACAUAAGUAACGAUAAAGCGGGUGAAAAGCCCGCUCGCCGGAAGACCAAGGGUUCCUGUCCAACGUUAAUCGGGGCAGGGUGAGUCGACCCCUAAGGCGAGGCCGAAAGGCGUAGUCGAUGGGAAACGGGUUAAUAUUCCCGUACUUGGUGUUACUGCGAAGGGGGGACGGAGAAGGCUAUGUUGGCCGGGCGACGGUUGUCCCGGUUUAAGCGUGUAGG
This 605-nucleotide ribosomal RNA is filed under the name Salmonella enterica. Its description in RNAcentral is "partial 23S ribosomal RNA". Lineage: Bacteria; Pseudomonadati; Pseudomonadota; Gammaproteobacteria; Enterobacterales; Enterobacteriaceae. The record is from RNAcentral.